GAUGAACGCUGGCGGCGUGCCUAAUACAUGCAAGUCGAGCGAACAGACGAGGAGCUUGCUCCUCUGACGUUAGCGGCGGACGGGUGAGUAACACGUGGAUAACCUACCUAUAAGACUGGGAUAACUUCGGGAAACCGGAGCUAAUACCGGAUAACAUGUUGAACCGCAUGGUUCAACAGUGAAAGACGGUCUUGCUGUCACUUAUAGAUGGAUCCGCGCCGCAUUAGCUAGUUGGUAAGGUAACGGCUUACCAAGGCAACGAUGCGUAGCCGACCUGAGAGGGUGAUCGGCCACACUGGAACUGAGACACGGUCCAGACGACUACGGGAGGCAGCAGUAGGGAACCUUACGCAAUGGGCGAAAGCCUGACGGAGCAACGCCGCGUGAGUGAAGAAGGUCUUCGGAUCGUAAAACUCUGUUAUUAGGGAAGAACAAAUGUGUAAGUAACUAUGCACGUCUUGACGGUACCUAAUCAGAAAGCCACGGCUAACUACGUG
RNAcentral lists this ribosomal RNA (497 nucleotides) under uncultured bacterium. Its description in RNAcentral is "partial 16S ribosomal RNA". It matches the Rfam family "Bacterial small subunit ribosomal RNA", at positions 28 to 507 of the family's 1533-position model. The record is from RNAcentral.